This 1550-nucleotide long non-coding RNA is filed under the name Malus domestica (apple). RNAcentral's name for it is "long non-coding RNA (MDOM_LNC009540)". The record is from RNAcentral. Lineage: Eukaryota; Viridiplantae; Streptophyta; Magnoliopsida; Rosales; Rosaceae.
ACACACACACACACAAAAGGUUAAUGUUAUACAAUCAGGUAAAGCUUUUGAGGAUACCUGAAGACGACAUUGAGUUGGAUGAACGAGAGAACCCUAGUCUGCAAGUAAUCGUUCAAGGAAAGUCUUCUACUCACUUGAAGCCUUUAUGUUCUUAUGGUGAUAGAACCCUUUUCUUAGAACGUUUUUUCUAUGAGCGGGGAAUUCCUACAUUUAUUGUGGCAAUGGCAGCCAACUUCCAUCUAUCGUGGAAGUAUGGUUAUUGUCCUGUUGCACCAAAUCCCGGUUUAAAUGGAAUAAUGGAUUAGUGGUAAAAUACCUUAAGUGAUUAUUUCAAAACAUUUUGAAUGUGCUUCUACAAAAAUAGGAUGUUAACUUUUCCACGUAUUCAAACUCUAUAGAAUUAUAUUAUCAACAUGUACCCUCUCCUUUAUCACAACUUGUUAAGUCCAAAUAGGAUUCUUAAAUUCUCCCACAUGGACGCUAACUAGUUGUGGUUUAGAAGUUCCAUGUCUAAUAUGAAUUCAUUCUUUAGUGAUCACUUUGAGUUUUAAGCAACUAACGUCUUAUUCACAUUUACUAGUAAUCGUUUAAGGAUUGAACUUUAGGAAAUAAUACAUGUACUAAUAAUGUAUUCACCCUAAAAUCACAAUCCUCAAAUUCAUACUAUAUAAUGCAAGUGUAAUCAAACAUUUAUACACAUUAAUAACAUAAUUUAAUCUGUAUCUCAAUUCAUCUCUCCCACUGAACAAUCCAACUAACCAUUGUCGAGCCUUUGUUUGGUUGCAAUGUUCUCAUAACACUUGAUUAAACAAGCUUCUUUAUCACUCAAGUUCCUGAGCAUUACCUCAACUUGUAUCAGCUUGCUGCAAGCAUAUAUUUGUAUAUACAAACGACUGAAACAAUCAUCAAGGUUGAAUUCAUCAACAUGUCAACUAAAAACCAUGAAGAACAAAACACAUGAAUUCAUACUUAUUCAAAUAGGGAAAUUCACUCCCACAUAACAGCAGAAUUGAAUGAGUCAAUGACUCCCAUAUUCAUGACAUGAUCCUUGAACACUCCAACAACUAAGGGCUUUAUGAGAAGAUACUCCUGCCUUCACCUUUUCCUUUAUGGACAAAUAUUUCACAUCCAUCAUUCAUACAUGUUUAUGUUACACCUUUGGGUAAGAAACAUAAACAUCAUUUUGAAAAUAGAUUAUGUAACCUUAUUGUAUAAUAGUCAUGUAAAAGAUUAGGAAAACAACCAAGAUUUGAAGUCUUUGGACAAUAAAAUAAUCAACUUAAUUCUCUUAAAACUGUUAUACCCUAAAAAAAUCUCAAACCAUUCAUACAUUCUUCUAUUUGGAAAAGAAUAUUGACAUAUUACAAGUUUUAAAACCAUAAUUUACAUAAUCCAGUAGGUACACAAGCCUGCACUUCAAAAUCUCGCUCAGAAGUUUUUCCUGAAAAAGUAAAGGUUAGUGCAAAAAAUAUUUGUGAGAACCCGUAUUCCAUAAUUAUAUUAUAAGUUGUCCUAUAUAUGUGUGUGUGUCAACUAGAGUUGUAUGUUGA